Molecule: ribosomal RNA, 459 nt
Filed under: uncultured bacterium
Lineage: Bacteria
Description: partial 16S ribosomal RNA
Rfam family: Bacterial small subunit ribosomal RNA
Source: RNAcentral
CCUACGGGGUGCUGCAGUGAGGAAUAUUGGUCAAUGGACGAGAGUCUGAACCAGCCAAGUAGCGUGAAGGAUGACUGCCCUAUGGGUUGUAAACUUCUUUUAUAUGGGAAUAAAACGUUCCACGUGUGGGAUUUUGUAUGUACCAUAUGAAUAAGGAUCGGCUAACUCCGUGCCAGCAGCCGCGGUAAUACGGAGGAUCCGAGCGUUAUCCGGAUUUAUUGGGUUUAAAGGGAGCGUAGGUGGAUUGUUAAGUCAGUUGUGAAAGUUUGCGGCUCAACCGUAAAAUUGCAGUUGAAACUGGCAGUCUUGAGUACAGUAGAGGUGGGCGGAAUUCGUGGUGUAGCGGUGAAAUGCUUAGAUAUCACGAAGAACACCGAUUGCGAAGGCAGUUCACUGGACUGCAACUGACACUGAGGCUCGAAAGUGUGGGUAUCAAACAGGAUUAGAUACCCUGUAGUC